GACGAACGCUGGCGGCGUGCUUAACACAUGCAAGUCGAACGAUGAAGCCGGAGCUUGCUCUGGUGAAUUAGUGGCGAACGGGUGAGUAACACGUGAGUAACCUGCCCAUGACUCUGGGAUAACUGCUAGAAAUGGUAGCUAAUACCGGAUACGACCCCCGGUGGCAUCACCAGGGGGUGGAAAGAAUUUCGGUCAAGGAUGGACUCGCGGCCUAUCAGCUAGUUGGUGAGGUAACGGCUCACCAAGGCGACGACGGGUAGCCGGCCUGAGAGGGUGACCGGCCACACUGGGACUGAGAUACGGCCCAGACUCCUACGGGAGGCAGCAGUGGGGAAUAUUGCACAAUGGGCGCAAGCCUGAUGCAGCGACGCCGCGUGAGGGAUGACGGCCUUCGGGUUGUAAACCUCUUUCAGCAUCGACGAAGCGAAAGUGACGGUAGGUGCAGAAGAAGGACCGGCCAACUACGUGCCAGCCGCCGCGGUAA
RNAcentral lists this ribosomal RNA (484 nucleotides) under uncultured bacterium. Its description in RNAcentral is "partial 16S ribosomal RNA". It matches the Rfam family "Bacterial small subunit ribosomal RNA", at positions 28 to 523 of the family's 1533-position model. The record is from RNAcentral.